AUUGAACGCUGGCGGCAGGCCUAACACAUGCAAGUCGAACGGUAACAGGAAGAAGCUUGCUUCUUUGCUGACGAGUGGCGGACGGGUGAGUAAUGUCUGGGAAACUGCCUGAUGGAGGGGGAUAACUACUGGAAACGGUGGCUAAUACCGCAUAACGUCGCAAGACCAAAGAGGGGGACCUUCGGGCCUCUUGCCAUCGGAUGUGCCCAGAUGGGAUUAGCUAGUAGGUGGGGUAACGGCUCACCUAGGCGACGAUCCCUAGCUGGUCUGAGAGGAUGACCGGCCACACUGGAACUGAGACACGGCCCAGACUCCUACGGGAGGCAGCAGUGGGGAAUAUUGCACAAUGGGCGCAAGCCUGAUGCAGCCAUGCCGCGUGUAUGAAGAAGGCCUUCGGGUUGUAAAGUACUUUCAGCGGGGAGGAAGGGAGUAAAGUUAAUACCUUUGCUCAUUGACGUUACCCGAAGAAGAAGCCCCGGCUAACUCCGUG
RNAcentral lists this ribosomal RNA (490 nucleotides) under uncultured bacterium. RNAcentral describes it as "partial 16S ribosomal RNA". It matches the Rfam family "Bacterial small subunit ribosomal RNA", at positions 30 to 507 of the family's 1533-position model. The record is from RNAcentral.